GAUAACGUCCGGAAACGGGCGCUAAUACCGCAUACGUCCUGAGGGAGAAAGUGGGGGAUCUUCGGACCUCACGCUAUCAGAUGAGCCUAGGUCGGAUUAACUAGUUGGUGGGGUAAAGGCCUACCAAGGCGACGAUCCGUAACUGGUCUGAGAGGAUGAUCAGUCACACUGGAACUGAGACACGGUCCAGACUCCUACGGGAGGCAGCAGUGGGGAAUAUUGGACAAUGGGCGAAAGCCUGAUCCAGCCAUGCCGCGUGUGUGAAGAAGGUCUUCGGAUUGUAAAGCACUUUAAGUUGGGAGGAAGGGCAGUAAGUUAAUACCUUGCUGUUUUGACGUUACCAACAGAAUAAGCACCGGCUAACUUCGUGCCAGCAGCCGCGGUAAUACAAAGGGUGCAAGCGUUAAUCGGAAUUACUGGGCGUAAAGCGCGCGUAGGUGGUUCAGCAAGUUGGAUGUGAAAUCCCCGGGCUCAACCUGGGAACUGCAUCC
RNAcentral lists this ribosomal RNA (491 nucleotides) under Pseudomonas aeruginosa. Its description in RNAcentral is "bacterial SSU rRNA". It matches the Rfam family "Bacterial small subunit ribosomal RNA", at positions 142 to 628 of the family's 1533-position model. The record is from RNAcentral. Lineage: Bacteria; Pseudomonadati; Pseudomonadota; Gammaproteobacteria; Pseudomonadales; Pseudomonadaceae. RNAcentral also lists the same sequence under 1 other name.